GACGUGGGGUGGCACAGACGUCGGGUGGCACAGACAUCGGGUGGCACAGACGUCGGGUGGCACAGACAUCGGGUGGCACGGGCAGAUCUCUAAAUACCUGUGGCCAGGGGCCCGCGGGGCAGCGAUGAGGAGCUCUGCGCUCUGAGGCACCACACGGAGCCACCACGGUCCCGGGAGACACAGCAGCGACCUCGAGCAGGGCCAUCCCAGAACCCGUAAGGAAAACCCCCGACCUGUUUGUGGUGAUCCCAGAAAGCUGAGCAGGGCACCAUGACCCA
Manacus vitellinus (golden-collared manakin) is the source of this 278-nucleotide long non-coding RNA. RefSeq lists it as uncharacterized. The transcript is spliced from 3 exons. The record is from RefSeq and is a predicted model, not a curated record. Lineage: Eukaryota; Metazoa; Chordata; Aves; Passeriformes; Pipridae.